GUGGGCGUGGGUUCAUCGGCGCCUUUUCCGCUUGUCAUGCUUGCCAAGCAUAAGGUCGGGAGUUCGACCCUCCUCACCCGCUCCA
RNAcentral lists this transfer RNA (85 nucleotides) under Deltaproteobacteria bacterium. Its description in RNAcentral is "tRNA-Gly". Lineage: Bacteria; Pseudomonadati; Myxococcota; Myxococcia. The record is from RNAcentral.